UACGUAGGGUGCGAGCGUUAAUCGGAAUUACUGGGCGUAAAGCGUGCGCAGGCGGUUUUGUAAGACAGGUGUGAAAUCCCCGGGCUUAACCUGGGAACUGCGCUUGUGACUGCAAGACUCGAGUACGGCAGAGGGGGGGUAGAAUUCCACGUGUAGCAGUGAAAUGCGUAGAGAUGUGGAGGAAUACCGAUGGCGAAGGCAGCCCCCCUGGGCCAAUACUGACGCUCAUGCACGAAAGCGUGGGGAGCAAACAGG
Molecule: ribosomal RNA, 255 nt
Filed under: uncultured bacterium
Lineage: Bacteria
Description: partial 16S ribosomal RNA
Rfam family: Bacterial small subunit ribosomal RNA
Source: RNAcentral